This is a long non-coding RNA of Polyodon spathula (Mississippi paddlefish), 467 nucleotides long. RefSeq lists it as uncharacterized. The transcript is spliced from 4 exons. NCBI's taxonomy places the organism in Eukaryota, Metazoa, Chordata, Actinopteri, Acipenseriformes, Polyodontidae. The record is from RefSeq and is a predicted model, not a curated record.
CUCAGGUAUUGGUAUUGGAUUAUGUGCAAGCAGAAGGAGCUCAGGUAUUGGUAUUGGAUUAUGUGCAAGUAGAAGGAGCUCAGGUAUUGGUAUUGGAUUAUGUGCAAGCAGAAGGAGCUCAGGUAUUGGUAUUGGAUUAUGUGCAAGCAGAAGGAGCUCAGGUAUUGGUAUUGGAUUAUGUGCAAGCAGAAGGAGCUCAGGUAUUGGAUUAUGUGCAAGCAGAAGGAGCUCAGGUAUUGGUAUUGGAUUAUGUGCAAGCAGAAGGAGCUCAGGUAUUGGUAUUGGAUUAUGUGCAAGCAGAAGGAGCUCAGGUAUUGGUAUUGGAUUAUGUGCAAGCAGAAGGAGCUCAGGUAUUGGUAUUGGAUUAUGUGCAAGCAGAAGGAGCUCAGGUAUUGGUAUUGGAUUAUGUGCAAGCAGAAGGAGCUCAGGUAUUGGUAUUGGAUUAUGUGCAAGCAGAAGGAGCUCAG